UGGGGAAUAUUGCGCAAUGGGGGAAACCCUGACGCAGCAACGCCGCGUGGGUGACGAAGGUCUUCGGAUUGUAAAACCCUGUCUUCUGGGACGAUAAUGACGGUACCAGAGGAGGAAGCCACGGCUAACUACGUGCCAGCAGCCGCGGUAAUACGUAGGUGGCGAGCGUUGUCCGGAUUUACUGGGCGUAAAGGAUGCGUAGGCGGAUCUUUAAGUGGGAU
RNAcentral lists this ribosomal RNA (221 nucleotides) under Clostridium sp. enrichment culture clone M14C4. Its description in RNAcentral is "partial 16S ribosomal RNA". It matches the Rfam family "Bacterial small subunit ribosomal RNA", at positions 355 to 593 of the family's 1533-position model. Lineage: Bacteria; Bacillati; Bacillota; Clostridia; Eubacteriales; Clostridiaceae. The record is from RNAcentral.